This 493-nucleotide long non-coding RNA is filed under the name Heterocephalus glaber (naked mole-rat). Its description in RNAcentral is "lncRNA (ENSHGLG00000038966.1)". Lineage: Eukaryota; Metazoa; Chordata; Mammalia; Rodentia; Bathyergidae. The record is from RNAcentral.
CAGCCACCUCUUCCCAGCUGCUUUCCCCAGCCCUAGCAAGAGGGCACCCUCUUCCAAAAGCGAGUCUACCUGGGGAGGAGGUGGCUCCGUGCUGAAGGUAGCUUCCUCCAGUCAAGAAAAAUAGAAUCAACUCCUGCAUGUAGCAGUGGAAUAUCUGGAUACAAAUCAUUCUUUAGGAGAAGGUUGGCUAUGAAGGCAGAGUGGGACCUUCUUCACUGCAGUCCUCCUACAACUUGGACCAGAGGAUUCCAUCUUCGCUGUUACAGUAUCCAUCUCCACAAGGAGCAGAAGUACAUGGGAAGUAGAGAAAACAGAAAUUAGAAAGCUAGAAGCUGUUUUGAAAAAUGCUUUCAGACUUUACAAAACAUAUAUGAAAAGAGAAUUUAUAUUUCCCCAUAUUUGGCUGGAUAUUUAUAUGACAAUUCCAAUAACCAGAUACAAAAUCAAAAUUAAAACUAAGGUACAUUUACCCAUAAAGAAAAUAUAAUGCCAC